RNAcentral lists this ribosomal RNA (405 nucleotides) under uncultured bacterium. RNAcentral's name for it is "partial 16S ribosomal RNA". It matches the Rfam family "Bacterial small subunit ribosomal RNA", at positions 30 to 526 of the family's 1533-position model. The record is from RNAcentral.
AUUGAACGCUGGCGGCAGGCUUAACACAUGCAAGUCGAACGAGUGGCGGACGGGUGAGUAAUGCUUGGGAAUCUAGCUUAUGGAGGGGGAUAACUACGGGAAACUGUAGCUAAUACCGCGUACCAUAGGAUGAGCCCAAGUGGGAUUAGGUAGUUGGGGAGGUAAAGGCUCACCAAGCCGACGAUCUCUAGCUGGUCUGAGAGGAUGACCAGCCAAACUGGGACUGGUGCCCGGCCAAGACUCCUACGGUAGGCAGCAGUGGGGAAUAUUGCGCAAUGGGGGCAACCUGACGCAGCCAGGCCGCGUGAAUGAAGAAGGCCUUGGGGUUGUAAAGUUCUUUCGGUAGCGAGGCGUUAACUACAGAAGAAGCACCGGCUAACUCCGUGCCAGCCGCCGCGGUAAUAC